GGACCCGCACAAGCGGUGGAGCAUGUGGUUUAAUUCGAAGAUACACGAAGAACCUUACCUGGCCUUGAUAUCCUAAGAAUCCUGUAGAGAUAUGGGAGUGCUAGUUUACUAGAACUUAGAGACAGGUGCUGCACGGCUGUCGUCAGCUCGUGUCGUGAGAUGUUGGGUUAAGUCCCGCAACGAGCGCAACCCUCGUGAUUAGUUGCUAACAGUUUGGCUGAGCACUCUAAUCAGACUGCCUUCGCAAGGAGGAGGAAGGUGAGGACGACGUCAAGUCAUCAUGGCCCUUAUGGCCAGGGCUACACACGUGCUACAAUGGUUAGGACAAAGAGAAGCGAUACCGCGAGGUGGAGCAAAUCUUAAAACCUAGUCUCAGUUCGGAUUGAAGUCUGCAACUCGACUUCAUGAAGCUGGAAUCGCUAGUAAUCGUAGAUCAGAUAUGCUACGGUGAAUACGUUCCCGGGUCUU
This 468-nucleotide ribosomal RNA is filed under the name uncultured bacterium. RNAcentral describes it as "bacterial SSU rRNA". It matches the Rfam family "Bacterial small subunit ribosomal RNA", at positions 917 to 1382 of the family's 1533-position model. The record is from RNAcentral.